RNAcentral lists this non-coding RNA (94 nucleotides) under uncultured Blautia sp. RNAcentral's name for it is "TPP riboswitch (THI element)". The stretch from base 5 to 85 matches the Rfam family "TPP riboswitch aptamer (THI element)", at positions 11 to 88 of the family's 105-position model. From Rfam's summary of the family: Vitamin B(1) in its active form thiamin pyrophosphate (TPP) is an essential coenzyme that is synthesised by coupling of pyrimidine and thiazole moieties in bacteria. The previously detected thiamin-regulatory element, thi box was extended, resulting in a new, highly conserved RNA secondary structure, the THI element, which is widely distributed in eubacteria and also occurs in some archaea. Analysis of operon structures identified a large number of new candidate thiamin-regulated genes, mostly transporters, in various prokaryotic organisms. The record is from RNAcentral. Lineage: Bacteria; Bacillati; Bacillota; Clostridia; Lachnospirales; Lachnospiraceae.
GAACAGGGGAGCUUGUACAAGCAGGCUGAGAGGAAGUAAUCAACUUCGACCCUUAUACCUGAUUUGGAUAAUGCCAACGUAGGAACGAACGUAU